RNAcentral lists this ribosomal RNA (2436 nucleotides) under Alveopora sp. MFL-2014. Its description in RNAcentral is "bacterial LSU rRNA". It matches the Rfam family "Bacterial large subunit ribosomal RNA". The record is from RNAcentral. Lineage: Eukaryota; Metazoa; Cnidaria; Anthozoa; Scleractinia; Poritidae.
GAGAGGACAAAUGGCAAGUCGUUGGGCUCAUGCCCUGAAGAAGUGGGUUCGAUUCCCGCCUCUACAGUCUUGGGUAAAAGGAAAGGGAGAGAGGGGGAAAACUAAGAUGGAUUAAGCUGGACGGGAAGUUCGAAAGAGCGAAGAAGAAGCUUUAAACUCGUGUUUCAAUGCGGAGACGUAAUGAAGAGAACUGAAAAAUGAAUCAUCUUAGUAUCAGAGUGAGGCAGAGAAAUCAAACGAGAUUCCGUAAGUAGCAGGGAGCGAAAGCGGAGGAGUCCCAGAGAGUGAGUAAAUAAUGGAAUAAAGGAGUUCACAUAUCUAAGACUAAAUGUUAAUCCAUACUGAAAGCGUGAGUACUGUAAAGGAAAGUUGAAAGAGACUUGAAAAGAUCUGGAAUCUUGUCUUUUAAAGCAACUGUAAGACAGUGUACCUUUUGUAUAAUGGGUUUAUGAGACAUCGUUUGGCAAAUUUAAGUAAAGAGGAUAAAAAUGUAGGUGAAGAGAAGUCGAGAGGGCUCUUUAGUCAAAUUUCCCGAAACCAAGUGAUCUAACCAUGGACAGUUUAAUGAACGAACCGGUGGUUGUAGCAAAAACCUCGGAAGAUCUGUGGUUAGGGGGGAAAGCCCAAUCGGACUUGGCGAUAGCUGGUUUUCUGCGAAAACUAUUGAAGUAGUGCGUUUACAUAGGGGCUAGAAGAUGCAAAUAUAAUUUACACAUAUGGCGCUCUAUUAAAAUUUUAAGGUAAAGACUUAUCGUUUUAAGAGGGAUAGACUUUAAAGAUAACAUUUGAAGUAGACAGACAGACAAUGGGCAAAUAGGUUCAUUGUUAAAGGGGGGGAGCCCAAAUUAGAAGUUAAAGUCAAAGAUUCAAUAAUUAAGUGUAAAAGGAGUAUGGGACUUAGACAAUGAAGAGGUAGGCUUGGAACCAGCCAUCUUUGAAAGAAUGCGUAGUAGUUCAUUCAAGAACUUUUUUUCCCCAAAAAUUAUGGUGGCUAAAAAUUGAACUGAAACUCUAGGGGCAGUCAGUGAUUUGCUUGGUAGUAGAACAGACUGUUGGGUGGUGGUACGAGCCCAAGAAUCAGAAGCGAAAAUGUGAACAUGAGUAAAAAAAUUGUUGCUUCAUCUCCCCUGGUUUCCAAGCUAAAAAUAUCUGAACGAAGAAGUUUGGGUGAAACAGUCUCUAAGGAGGGUGCCGAUGGGGGAUAGUAAAAAACGCAUAAUGUGCCAGGAAAUAAUUAAAACAAAAGAUUACUGUCGCAAACUAACACAAGUGGGAGAUAGUGAGGGGGAAAGUUUUUUUAAGGAACUCGGCCAGUUAUAAGCUUUCAUUAGAAGUUAAAACACAAGGCCUCGACUGUUUACCAAAAACAUAGCUCUUUGCGAAUAUGAAGGUAGAAGUAUGAAGGGUGAGACCUGCCCAAUGGUUAUAUCUUAAAAGGUUAGUAGGGCUAACUUAAUAAAGAUAAUUAAAUGGCCGCGGUAACACUAACCGUGAAAAUGUAGCGUAAUCAAUAGUCAAUUAAUUGUUGACCGGUAUGAAUGGUGUCACGAGGGUCUCACUGUCUUAAGGAAAUCUCCAGUGAAAUUGAAUUUGUAGUGAAGAUGCUACAUCCAAAUUGUUAGACAAGAAGUCCCCAUGGAACUUUACUGGAAACUUAUGAGGCUGACUUAAAUAGUUUUAAAAUGUAGUGCGGAUUAACUAGGGUUAAAAAGCGCACUUUUUUAUUUGAAGAAAGGCAACUCAAAAACUUGUGUUUUUGGGAUUUGAUAAGUGGGACAGUUUGGUUGGGGCGAUCGCCUUUAAAAAAGUAACGAAGGCGGGCUUAAGAUAUAUAUUUUGUUAUGUCUGACUGCCAGGGGGAGACCUAGAGCAGACACUUAUCUCUGGAUGGUGGGUUAAAGUGACCCGUUAAUUUAGGGUGGAAUAGUUAACGAUAAACAAAUAAAAGUUACCCUGGGGAUAACAGCGUAAUAACGUCAGAGAGUUUUCAUCGACGACGAUGUUUGCGACCUCGAUGUUGAAUUGUGGCAUCCUGGGGUGCAGUUGCUCCCAAGGGUUGGUCUGUUCGUCCAUUAAAGCCGUACAUGAUUUGAGUUAAAAGCGUCGUAAGACAGCUUGGUUUCUAUCUACAAUUUGAAAAAACAUUAAUAUAACUCUUUUCUAGUACGAAAGGAUCGAAAAAUGAGUGGUUCUCUUAUUUUUAUAAGUUACAAUCAAUGGAUUGACUCGGAUGCUUUUUAAAGGGGGUUUUGGUUAAUUGCUGAUUGCUUCUAAAGUAUGAAAAUUAUAUUAAGUUGUUUGAGGUCCGGGAAAAGAAUUGUUAGGGGUUAGCUUGAUCGGGGGAGGGUUGUUUGUUUUAAAAACGUAUGGGGCAGAGAUAUCUCGGUUAUAUUGUACUUAGCUUAUCAGAAUUAUGGGAGACAGAGGUUUAGGGUG